UUGAAAUUGUGUUACACACAUAGGUUCAACAUUCAUGUAAAACAUGUGGUCUAAGGUAAAAUAAUGGCCGACUUGUGAAUCUUUUUAUUCACCUUGUAGCUCUAAAAAUGUACACAACCCUCUGUCAGGCCUG
Long non-coding RNA from Etheostoma cragini (Arkansas darter), 133 nucleotides. RefSeq lists it as uncharacterized. The transcript has 4 exons. NCBI's taxonomy places the organism in Eukaryota, Metazoa, Chordata, Actinopteri, Perciformes, Percidae. The record is from RefSeq and is a predicted model, not a curated record.